GUGACCUGCGGAAGGAUCAUUAUUGAAAUAAGCUGGUCGAUGCUGCUGCUGGCCUUCUUUGUGAGGCACUGUGCACGCGUUGUCCAACCUUUCCAUCUUACCCCUGUGCACCUUUGCGCUUGUCGACGACAAUCCGUUGUUUGUUGGCAUGCNUCCUUUUUGAUUUACAAACCCCUUUGCAUGUAUCUUGAAUGUGUUUGGGUUAUAUGUUGUAAUCAUAAUAAUAAAAACAACUUUCAACAACGGAUCUCUUGGCUCUCGCAUCGAUGAAGAACGCAGCGAAAUGCGAUAAGUAAUGUGAAUUGCAGAAUUCAGUGAAUCAUCGAAUCUUUGAACGCAACUUGCGCCCUUUGGUAUUCCGAAGGGCACGCCUGUUUGAGUGUCGUGAACAUCUCAAGGUCACCUCAACCAUUGAUUGGUUGAGGUUUGUCUCUUGGAUUUGGAGGGUUUUGCAGGCUUCACGGGAUGAGUGAUCUCUGCUCCUCUUUAAUACAGCAGCAAGGCUCUUGUGAUGAAGCCUCCCUUGGUGUUUGUAGUUUGACCUUACGCCAUGGGUGAGUUUGUUGCCUCUCGGUCCACUUCGUUCUUGAGGUGUGAGGGGGAGAGCCAUGCUUCGAAUGGUCCAUGAUGUUGAUGGACAAAAAUUGUUUUGACCAAUUUGACCUCAAAUCAGGUGGGGACUACCCGCUGAACUUAAGCAUAUCAAUAAGCGGAGGAAAAGAAACUAACGAGGAUUCCCUAGUANCUGCGAGUGAAGCGGGAUAAGCUCAAUUUAAAUCUGAC
Molecule: ribosomal RNA, 783 nt
Filed under: uncultured Russulales
Lineage: Eukaryota; Fungi; Basidiomycota; Agaricomycetes; Agaricales
Description: eukaryotic LSU rRNA
Rfam family: 5.8S ribosomal RNA (bases 232-385)
Source: RNAcentral